CGCGGGGUAGAGCAGUCGGUAGCUCGUCGGGCUCAUAACCCGGAGGUCGUUGGUUCGAGUCCAGCCCCCGCUA
RNAcentral lists this transfer RNA (73 nucleotides) under Bacteroidia bacterium. Its description in RNAcentral is "tRNA-Met". It matches the Rfam family "tRNA". From Rfam's summary of the family: Transfer RNA (tRNA) molecules are approximately 80 nucleotides in length. Their secondary structure includes four short double-helical elements and three loops (D, anti-codon, and T loops). Further hydrogen bonds mediate the characteristic L-shaped molecular structure. tRNAs have two regions of fundamental functional importance: the anti-codon, which is responsible for specific mRNA codon recognition, and the 3' end, to which the tRNAs corresponding amino acid is attached (by aminoacyl-tRNA synthetases). tRNAs cope with the degeneracy of the genetic code in two manners: having more than one tRNA (with a specific anti-codon) for a particular amino acid; and 'wobble' base-pairing, i.e. permitting non-standard base-pairing at the 3rd anti-codon position. Lineage: Bacteria; Pseudomonadati; Bacteroidota; Bacteroidia. The record is from RNAcentral.